This 63-nucleotide transfer RNA is filed under the name Rattus norvegicus (Norway rat). It matches the Rfam family "tRNA". From Rfam's summary of the family: Transfer RNA (tRNA) molecules are approximately 80 nucleotides in length. Their secondary structure includes four short double-helical elements and three loops (D, anti-codon, and T loops). Further hydrogen bonds mediate the characteristic L-shaped molecular structure. tRNAs have two regions of fundamental functional importance: the anti-codon, which is responsible for specific mRNA codon recognition, and the 3' end, to which the tRNAs corresponding amino acid is attached (by aminoacyl-tRNA synthetases). tRNAs cope with the degeneracy of the genetic code in two manners: having more than one tRNA (with a specific anti-codon) for a particular amino acid; and 'wobble' base-pairing, i.e. permitting non-standard base-pairing at the 3rd anti-codon position. Lineage: Eukaryota; Metazoa; Chordata; Mammalia; Rodentia; Muridae. The record is from Rfam by way of RNAcentral.
GGGGAUUUAGCUCAAUGGUAGAGCGCUUGCCUAACAAUUGCAAGACCCUGGGUUCAAUCCCCA